CAGUGUGUAUGUUUGGUUGUUCUCUCUAGCUGAGGAUGUGGAGUUGAGGAGGUACUGUGCCUCGCUGUUUGCUGUGUCAUCCUGCGGGGGCAGCGCUGAGCCAGAGCCCUCACCUGGAUCGUGUCUGAGCAUAGAGGAGUUAGAUGAGGAGACAGUUAGAGACAGAGGGUUUGUUACUGAACAGAAGGCAGAAGACAACACAAAGCAAGAGGAAGUCAAAGCAAUUGGAGGUCCUAACCUGUCCCACAAUGCAUUGUCCCAGGGAGCCAUGUUGUCUGGGUCUCCAGUGACAUGGUCACCUCGCCCUCCUUUGGUCUCUAAAGUGGGGACCACUCAGAUACCACAACCUGACCACACUAGUGUACGGUCUCCAAGGUCCACCACUGCGUCACCUCAGCCCAGAGGACCAAAGACCCCUGGGUCGUCAACCAAGACACCAGCCAAGUCAACACGAACGGACUGCUCUUACAACCGCCAUCAGUCAACUCUAGACCCCUCAUGCCCCAGCCCUUCUCCCUCUACACCCAAACCAGAGCUCUUAUCUGCAGGGCCCCCAUUCUCUCUGUCUCCCUCUCCACCCUCUCUCCACUCCCUCAGGCCCCCAUCCUCUCUGUCUCCCUCUCCACCCUCUCUCCACUCCCUCAGGC
Long non-coding RNA from Oncorhynchus kisutch (coho salmon), 647 nucleotides. RefSeq lists it as uncharacterized. The transcript has 3 exons. The record is from RefSeq and is a predicted model, not a curated record. Lineage: Eukaryota; Metazoa; Chordata; Actinopteri; Salmoniformes; Salmonidae.